GAUGAACGCUGGCGGCGUGCCUAACACAUGCAAGUCGAGCGGACCGUUGCUCAUUUCAGCUUUGCUGAUUUGAGCAACGGUUAGCGGCGGACGGGUGAGUAACGCGUGGGCAACCUGCCCUGUGCAGGGGGAUAACACAGCGAAAGCUGUGCUAAUACCCCAUAAGACUACGCUAUCGCAUGAUAGAGUAGUCAAAGCUUUAGCGGCACAGGAUGGGCCCGCGUCUGAUUAGCUAGUUGGUGGGGUAACGGCCUACCAAGGCGACGAUCAGUAGCCGACCUGAGAGGGUGAUCGGCCACACUGGAACUGAGACACGGUCCAGACUCCUACGGGAGGCAGCAGUGGGGAAUAUUGCACAAUGGGGGAAACCCUGAUGCAGCAACGCCGCGUGAGCGAAGAAGGCCUUCGGGUCGUAAAGCUCUGUCCUAAGGGAAGAAGUAUGACGGUACCUUAGGAGGAAGCCCCGGCUAACUACGUGCCAGCAGCCGCGGUAAUACGUAGGGGGCGAGCGUUAUCCGGAAUCACUGGGCGUAAAGGGUGCGUAGGCGGCCGAGUAAGCCAGAGGUGAAAGGCUACGGCUUAACCGUAGUAAGCCUUUGGAACUACUUGGCUUGAGUGCGGGAGAGGAGAGUGGAAUUCCUAGUGUAGCGGUGAAAUGCGUAGAUAUUAGAGGAACACCAGUGGCGAAAGCGACUCUCUGGACUGUAACUGACGCUGAGCACGAAAGCGUGGGGAGCAAACAGGAUUAGAUACCCUGGUAGUCCACGCCGUAAACGAUGAGUGCUAGGUGUCGGGGGUUCACACCCUCGGUGCCGGAGUUAACGCAAUAAGCACUCCGCCUGGGGAGUACGGUCGCAAGACUGA
RNAcentral lists this ribosomal RNA (864 nucleotides) under uncultured bacterium. RNAcentral describes it as "bacterial SSU rRNA". It matches the Rfam family "Bacterial small subunit ribosomal RNA", at positions 28 to 897 of the family's 1533-position model. The record is from RNAcentral.